UGGCUCAGGACGAACGCUGGCGGCGUGCCUAAUACAUGCAAGUCGAGCGAGUCUGCCUUGAAGAUCGGAGUGCUUGCACUCUGUGAAACAAGAUACAGGCUAGCGGCGGACGGGUGAGUAACACGUGGGUAACCUGCCCAAGAGAUCGGGAUAACACCUGGAAACAGAUGCUAAUACCGGAUAACAACAGAUGAUGCCUAUCAACUGUUUAAAAGAUGGUUCUGCUAUCACUCUUGGAUGGACCUGCGGUGCAUUAGCUAGUUGGUAGGGUAACGGCCUACCAAGGCGAUGAUGCAUAGCCGAGUUGAGAGACUGAUCGGCCACAUUGGGACUGAGACACGGCCCAAACUCCUACGGGAGGCAGCAGUAGGGAAUCUUCCACAAUGGACGCAAGUCUGAUGGAGCAACGCCGCGUGAGUGAAGAAGGGUUUCGGCUCGUAAAGCUCUGUUGUUGGUGAAGAAGGACAGGGGUUAGUAACUGACCUUUGUUUUGACGGUAAUCAAUUAGAAAGUCACGGCUAACUACGUGCCAGCAGCCGCGGUAAUACGUAGGUGGCAAGCGUUGUCCGGAUUUAUUGGGCGUAAAGCGAGUGCAGGCGGCUCGAUAAGUCUGAUGUGAAAGCCUUCGGCUCAACCGGAGAAUUGCAUCAGAAACUGUCGAGCUUGAGUACAGAAGAGGAGAGUGGAACUCCAUGUGUAGCGGUGAAAUGCGUAGAUAUAUGGAAGAACACCGGUGGCGAAGGCGGCUCUCUGGUCUGUUACUGACGCUGAGGCUCGAAAGCAUGGGUAGCGAACAGGAUUAGAUACCCUGGUAGUCCAUGCCGUAAACGAUGAGUGCUAAGUGUUGGGAGGUUUCCGCCUCUCAGUGCUGCAGCUAACGCAUUAAGCACUCCACCUGGGGAGUACGACCGCAAGGUUGAAACUCAAAGGAAUUGACGG
This 939-nucleotide ribosomal RNA is filed under the name Lactobacillus iners. RNAcentral describes it as "bacterial SSU rRNA". It matches the Rfam family "Bacterial small subunit ribosomal RNA", at positions 20 to 916 of the family's 1533-position model. The record is from RNAcentral. Lineage: Bacteria; Bacillati; Bacillota; Bacilli; Lactobacillales; Lactobacillaceae.